GCUGGGCGUGGUGGUACGCAUCUGUAGUCCCAGCUACUUGGGAGGCUGAGGCAGGAGAAUCACUUGAACCUGGGAGACUCAGGUCGCAGUGAGCUGAGAGCGAGAUUCCAUCUAAAAACAAAAUUAGCCAGGUGUGAUGGCAUAUGCCUGUAGUCCCAGCUACUUGAAGACUGACACAGGAGUAUCCUUUGAGCCCAGGAGGUCAAGGUUACAGUGAACUGUGAUCGUACCACUGCAGUCUGGCCUGGAUGACAGAGUGAUAUCCUGUCUUU
Molecule: small RNA, 272 nt
Filed under: Saimiri boliviensis boliviensis (Bolivian squirrel monkey)
Lineage: Eukaryota; Metazoa; Chordata; Mammalia; Primates; Cebidae
Description: Metazoan signal recognition particle RNA (ENSSBOG00000005419.1)
Source: RNAcentral